This 2884-nucleotide unclassified non-coding RNA is filed under the name Cimex lectularius (bed bug). RNAcentral's name for it is "uPF0505 protein C16orf62 homolog, transcript variant X2". Lineage: Eukaryota; Metazoa; Arthropoda; Insecta; Hemiptera; Cimicidae. The record is from RNAcentral.
GUUAUAUGGUCAAAUAUGACAGCUUCUGCUGCAGAUCUGAUUAAGUUGUGAUUUUUGGCUUUUCUUUUUUUUCUGUUUUUUACAAACAUUCCUGUCGCCAUGAAUGAAGGAAAAGCAAGACAACUGAAAUGGGAAUGGGUUUGUCAAGUUCCCAAAAGGACACUCGUUAAACAUCACAUGAUCCCUCAGGAAACGGUGGACCAUCCUCUUAAAUUUCAGUCUUCUGCAAUUGUUAAUCGAGGUCUUAAAAAAACCUCUGACUCUUCUUCAAAGGAUCUUAAACCAGUUCUCAAUGAUCCCUUACUUAAUGCAGUAGACGAUGUAGACCCUUUAACAGCCUUGGCAGCAGAACAGAAUUGGUACGAUAUGGAGGAAAAGCCGGAAAAAAAUAAAAAAUCCAACUCUAUGAAUGGCUGGAAUGAACAGUGCCAUGAGAUUUUAAAUAAAUACAUAACAACAAAAAAACUUUCCAUGGCCACAGGAAUAAUAUCUAUGAUGGAUAAAAGGGGAAAAGUGCCUAACGCUGCAAGAGAUGCACUAAAAAAUCAGCCGAAUCUAGGAAUGAAAAACAGACUCGAACAGUUGGACGAUUUGGAAGAAGUCGAUUCCAAAGAGAUGUCUCUUCUCACGCAACAAGAGUACAUUGAUAACAUUAACGAUUUGAAGAAUGAAAUCGUGCAAGCCUGGCAGCAGCAUUUUAGGGUUAAAGCCCUCAAAAUUACAAUUCAGUGCUCAAAAUUAUUAGUCGAUACAAGCGUCGUUCAGUUUUACCCAAACAAAUUUGUUUUAAUAACUAACACUCUGGACACCUUUGGUAAUCUUGUGUACGAGAGGCUUUGGAACAAAUCUGAAAAUCAACAGGAAAUUGGAUCGUCUUCAGAAAGUGUCUCCUCAACUACAGUGACGGAGUCAACGAAAGAGACUUGCCGUAAUUGGUUUUAUAAGAUCGCCUCUAUUAGAGAGUUGAUUCCUAGAUUGUACGUUGAAGCAGCCAUACUUAAAUCCUAUUGCUUUCUCAGUGAUAAUGAGUUUUCCAGUUCUCUUAAAAGACUGAUGAUGAUGACAAGAGGCAUCGGGGAUCCCCUCGUGUCAAUAUAUGCCAGAUGUUACCUGUGUAAAAUAGGGAUUUCAUCGAAUAACAUCAAUAGGAAACUCAUGAGGGAAAAUUUCAUGGAUUUCUUACAAAUGUACUGUCAGUUAUUUAGUACGACUGCAUUGAAUGAAGUCAGUAAGCAAAAAAUAGACAUGCCAACAUACCUCAACUCAUUCAUCCCAGCGAUCGAUUGGAUGCUGAAUGCUGCGAUUCGCAACAUUGAUGAGCCUGAACUUGAUGAGCUGGUCGAUAGCUGUUGCAAAAUGCUCAAUAAAGGUCUUCUGUUAAACUCAAUUUUGAGAACAUGUGAUGCUUCUUAUAUAGCAAAACGAGAGUCGUUUUUUAUGCAGCAGAUCACUUCAAGCACUGAUGACUUUUUUCCAUUCCAUAUUACUUUGAAGUGUAUGGGAGAAAAGUUACGUGGUAAAAUUGUUUCAAAUCCUGAGACUAUUUUUGAAGAUGCUUGGAAACUUAUAUCCCAGCUUUCCAAUUCAAACACAUAUUUUUCAUGCAUUUUAGCAUGGAAUUACUUUAUUGUCAAGUUCUGUUCACUUACCAAACUCAAUUCAUUGUUGGAAGAUAUAAUAAGCCAUUUUGGAACUGGGUCAAAAGCUCAUUGCCCCCUUUUGCAUGAAAUCAUCAUGUCUAUCGUGGAAAAUAUACCCAACUUGGAAGUUUUGUUUACCCUAGACAAAUUCCUACCGCUUCUUGAUCUCUUUGGAAAUGAUGAUCUUAAGAUCGUAACAUCGAAGAAAAUCCUUGAUUUGUUUGCAGCUAUGCCUAACAAAUUUAAAAUUACUGAUCCUGUUACAACCGAUGCUUUGAUAUUUUUGGCCAAAAUCCUCCAUGACUCUAUUAAUAUACUUUCAGUUGAUGAUGAAAAGCGUCAGAUUGGAAAUUUGAUUUCCCAGAUUAUAAUGAAAAUCGACUUUGGCAUGAAAAUGGAGUCUCAGCUUAGUUUUUACGUUGAAGCAAGGGCUACGUUUACCAACUUGGACACAGUUGUCGUCACACUUAUUCAUAGUGUUAAUAAAUUGGCGAUGGAAAUGGGUAAAAAAGUCAAAAGCCAUCAUACGAGGAAAACAGCUUCGUUCGUCCAUGCCUGUGCGGCUUAUUCCUUCAUAACGAUACCGUCAAUAAGAUCAGAAAUAACCAAGUUGCAGCUUUAUUUACUCACAGCUCAAAUAGCCCUUUUCAACCAGUGCCUUGGCCAAGCUGAUGCUUGUAUAAAAAGUGCGCUUUCUUUAAUACUGGAGCUGCCGCAGAAUGUUGAAGAAGUUGACGGCAAGAGUAAAUCAAAUGAACCCUUUCUUCAAGAAUAUGUUCAGAACAUGUUAUCCACACUUAUUAUUUUGCCUGACUGCCCGGAACAAGGAAUUCUAUAUCUUACUAGAGGGCUUGUUAAUAUUAUUCAGCAGUACUCCGAUGAUAAUAACUUAUUUGUAAUAACAAACCUAUACUUGAACGUAUUAGACAUGCUUGCCACAGUCGCUCAGGAAGAUUACCCUUACCAUGUCAAAAAAAGUUGAUUCAAAUGAUGUCCUUUAUGGGAGCGACCCUAAGUUUAUAGCUGAGAUCAAUAAAAUGUGUUGUGUUAUAAUUGACCAAGUCUUAUCGAAUCUCCAGGCACUUGGGACUCGCGGGGAAUUGAAGAAGCAAGCUCAAUUGUCAUUUAGCCUGUUCCUGAGAAUUAUGACUCAUGCUGAUCUUGAAGCCAAGGGAAUCGCUAUGUUGGCCCAACAGUUGUGGCUCCUGGCUCAUAAAAAUGGAAACAUAGAUUCAAAGCUAUCG